Molecule: non-coding RNA, 117 nt
Organism: Chelonoidis abingdonii (Abingdon island giant tortoise)
Lineage: Eukaryota; Metazoa; Chordata; Testudines; Testudinidae
Source: RefSeq, a predicted model, not a curated record
AUGGCUGUCUGCUUCUGUUUGUAUUUCCCAAAGUCUAUUUUCUCUGUUUCAGGAGCCAGGAAAGCUUCAUGCAGGGAGGGGGUGCAAGCUCCAUCCAACAUUCAUGACUGUUAUUCU